Molecule: long non-coding RNA, 1863 nt
Organism: Phasianus colchicus (ring-necked pheasant)
Lineage: Eukaryota; Metazoa; Chordata; Aves; Galliformes; Phasianidae
Source: RefSeq, a predicted model, not a curated record
GGAGCUCAGGUGCAUGCAAUGUACCUGAGUGAUUGGAAGGGCUGGAGCCAGGAUCUAUCCCUUCCAGCACCUCAUUUAAGGGUGGGCAGUGGAGGAGUAGGUGUCUUGCUGGAGAUUCCUAUUUACUUGAGGCCUUUUAAAGCCCAAUUCAUGGAGCUGCAGCUGUUCUUAGUCUUCUAAUCUUGUUGUCUUGGAAGUGGAGUCCAGGUGACUGCAUGGGGAACAAAGACCAUAUCCUUUAUCUUCAGACUGCAAGUCCAUCCGUGAAUUCAAGAGUGUGGCAGGCCGUGUGGCUUGAGGGCCAGCUCUGCAAAUAAAUAAUCUGCUGACCGCUUCAGCAUGUUGAUGUGGAAAAGCUGAUCUCACUCGAAGAGUUCUUUAUGAGUUUCCCACAAACAAGCAAAUGGAGCAAAUAUAUCUGAGUAGCAGGUGCAGUACUUUGGAUCUGCUUGGACAGAUGUAUGUGAAGACAACCCAAGGCUGUCCUGUUUCCACAGUAGAGCGUUUAGAGCAGCUCUCCAUCACAAUAGCCAAAGAAGAGAAAAACAUCACUUUGAUUCCUAUUUUUCCUCCCAGUCCUGUUUGUAAUUCCUUUAGGGAUUAGCUGGAAUUUGACUCUGUCAGUCUUUUCUCUCUUUUUGCCUACUAAAAAAAUAUUACCAUGUCAAGGAAUGCAGAAACCUUUCUCCCUUUGGCAUGAAAACUUUUGCAUAACCAAUGUGAUCUGUGCCAUUACACUUGAGCAGGAUUGUGCAUGUACAAUGCAAUAAAAAAAAAUUGAAAAGAAAUUUCAAUGACAAACCCCUUGGAAAAGAUUGCUUUGAUAUCCUGUCAUAUGUAUAAUUUCAGUAUUUUUUUCUCCCCAGUGAUUUAAAUUAAUUUGAAUCAAAUCAUUAGGCCCCAGACUGGUACUGAACAUAAUGACUCAUCCCUAAAUUAAUAUUGUCUACCCUGAACUACUCCUGUCUAAAUCACUGAAAGACUCACGCUACUCACAAAGUCAGCUACAUUCAAAUGAGUUCUGCAACAGUUCAUUAGGUAAUGAUGUAAUUUAUGUGCCUGGGCCAGCAAAGGCUUUUUGCUCUGGCUUAAAAUGGACAAAGUAUGGGUAAUUAAACAGGUGUUUUGUAAACUUCUGACAUUUCCUUGUGCAGGAGAAAAAGAGGAAAAAAAAAAAAAAAAAGAUUAAUAAUCAGAGUUUGAAUGAGGACAAAAUGCAUCAAACAAUACUGCAGGAUUUUCCAGUGCCAGCCUUUCUUCUUCCUAGUAUAGCGAGGCUUUAUGUAAGGAACAUGCAUCUCUUUCAGCAUAUUCUGUCUUAUAAAUGAUGUACUUGACACCAGCACUUGAAAGGAGCUAUACUAAAGGGAUCUGUUAGCAUGAGGAAUAAAUGUGUGUAAUUAGACUGGGUUCAGUGUCUAGGUGAAACCCUUGUAUAGCAGAAUUCAGUCAUUUUAGAGUUGUGCUGUACACUGAACCUCUCACAUCGCGUUAUCACCGUGCCAUCCAUUGUAUUUCAACUGCCACGAUGGAGGAGCAACUGGUAACAACACACCAAGAGCAACUUACAGAGGGAGUCUCUCCUGAAGGUCUUAAAUAGUAUAGCCCUAAUAAAAUAAAUGGGGAAUUAAAAGUAUUAUCAGCUGAGCAUAAAACCUUUCUGGUCUUAAUUGUUACUGUUUCUCUUCUCCCUUCUGAUUAUCAUCUUUGGACAAUGGCUAUUGUGAAGUGUUACCGAGACUACCAGUAAAUGGACUUCUUUCCUCAUACCCGUGUGUUGACAGGGUUUGGCAUCUCAGAGUUAAGACUUUUAGUAAUCUUGGCCUCCGUACUGGAAGAAGCUGUCAGUUGUUCCACAUAAUG